Molecule: ribosomal RNA, 253 nt
Filed under: uncultured bacterium
Lineage: Bacteria
Description: partial 16S ribosomal RNA
Rfam family: Bacterial small subunit ribosomal RNA
Source: RNAcentral
UACGUAGGGGGCUAGCGUUGUCCGGAUUUAUUGGGCGUAAAGGGCUCGUAGGUGGCCAACUAAGUCAGACGUGAAAUCCCUCGGCUUAACCGGGGAACUGCGUCUGAUACUGGAUGGCUUGAGUUUGGGAGAGGGACGCGGAAUUCCAGGUGUAGCGGUGAAAUUCGUAGAUAUUCGCAAGAACACCAGUGGCGAAGGCGGCUCACUGGUCCGGUACUGACGCUGAGGUGCGAAAGCGUGGGGAGCAAACAGG